AGCAAAAUUUCUCAUGCUGCCAUUUAUCAGUGUCCAAUACAAGGGAGAGAUUCCAUUGCCUCUGAACUUAACUCACUAUUAUACCAUUGUUUUUAACAUGUGGGAAAAUGUUACCUGAGCCUGCAGCUCAAAUUGUAAGGAGAGCAAAGGAAGGUAAAGGUGAUAGUGAUGGGCAGUGAAAACAUGCUUUUAAUAUUCUGUGUUACUCAUGAUAUUCAUGUAAUAACAUUUCUUAUAAGAGCCCAAAAUAUGGACAGUGCCCAACUAUCUCAGAACCUAACCCCCUUUAAUGACAUGUGUAUUUAUGUAUUCCUGUGGAAAUGGAGAGUUAUCUGUAUAUACAAUAUUCUGUGUAUAUAUAAUACAGUUUAAUAUAUGAUGUAUGUAUUAUAUAUAUAUGUGUGUGUGUAUGUGUAGCUGUGUAUGUUUAAAUAUUUUUAUAUAUGUUUUUGUAUAACAAAAUUAUAUGUAGGUUAGUUAAAACUCAUAAAACUUAAACUUUAUCCCAUGAAAAAGCUACAAUCAAGGUUUAGCUGGAAGACAAAAGAGCCAUGAUUUAGACUUCAAAACAGGUACCCUGCCAGGUAUUUCAGAAAUCUUAGUUGCCUGGCAAAAUAGCACCCAUUCAAUGCAGUGUUAUGUUAUGGCCCAGAAAGACAUGAUACCAUGGCAGGAGGAUUACCUGUAAAGAUAUAGGUGAGGAUUUUGCAUGAUAUUUAUGUUUGAAAUAGAAAUUUUGAAAAUGUGUCUUUCAUAAUUCAGGAAGAUUUUUUUGUGUUUUAAGUUUAAAUACUGUUAUAAGUCUAUUUCUCAGAUUCACAAAAAAAAAGUUGUGUAUCAAGAAAAAGAUAUGGUGAAAGUACUGCCUGAGUGAAUUUCAGAUGAAAGUGCUACUCGCCUAGUUUAUAUCAAGACAAUUGAUACUUGGAAAUGUUUUGAUGGAUGUUUGGACAAGGAGCAGACGCUUGAGCAAUGAACGUAUUUAGCUUGGCGUUGGAAUGUUUAUAUGUGUUUUAUGUUACUCAGUAAAGGAAAGUUUUAGUUUAUUAUAUAGCAAGAAAGAUAAAUACUGUGUCUACAUAGAUAUAUAACACGCAAUUUUUUUUUCUUUGCUGUUGUCAAGUUUACUUACCAUAUAUCUACUGUCAUGUUCACCCAGUUGCUUUCAAGUAUUUGCUAACAUGGUUGGAUUUUAUGUGUAAAUCUUCCAGUUUUUUUAGGGAGAUUGAAAAUUACCGCGCCAAAGAUAUAGUCGCUUACUAUGCAACAAUUUAUGUUUUGUCAUUUUUCAUAGUCAUAGGGUUUUUACUAUUUAUUCAGUUUCAGAGCUGUUUCACAGUGCAGUACAGUGUAAGCUCGUUAAUUCAUAUUAAUCAGGAGUUGCUAUUGAUAACUGUUCCAACUGCCCAGAUUUGCUUAAUGAUUAUUAAAGGCAUAUACUUAGCCAUUGCCAGCCUAAACUUUUACUAAUUGUUAAUGAACCAAUUUUUGCUUUAUUAAAGUGUUAGAAAACACACAGGGCAGCCUUAGUUAAGUUUUUCAACUUGGUGGUCUUGUUAAACUGCCAAAUAUUAACAGUUUAAAACGUGAAAAAAUUAUGUUUAGAAAUGCAAAAGUAUAUUUAGAAGUUCAAAAUGAAUUUUUCUCUGUAUUAAGAAAUGUAAUUAUUGUCCUCAUUUACAAUUUUUUUCUCUGAAACACAUUGUACCUCGAGGUGCAACAGCCUCUACAGAAAUUGUAAGGGUUUAGCACGAAGUACCUAGGGGACUGCUUUUUUUGGCUUGUUUUAGCUCAAGAAAUAUAUAUCCAAAUCUAAACACACUUUUUAUAUUAGUUUCGAUUUUGUUUGCAUGUUAUCCUGCAGUUGUCUGUUGUUUAUAGCAAAAAUGCAUACUAACACCAACUUGAAACAUUGCAUGACAUUGCAAAUGUAAAAAGAUAAUCAGUGGAAGUGAUAUGGCUUUUUAAGUUGAAAUCCACUGACUUACAGGUAAAUGGACAUUUCCAAAGCUUUGGAAUUAGUAUAUACCCCUUGUGUACAAUAUUUUUUUUUAAGGCACUGGUCCCUGCAGAGAAACAAAUGCAUUUGGUAGGCACGAUACAUGCAAACAAAAUAUAAGUUAAAUGCACAAGCACCCUGUUGAAUAAAAUGUACGUAAUAGAUUAGAUAUAGUACUCAGUUGACAAAUUUAUUGACUGUUAAAUAUGCUUUGUGGACAGAAUUUAUCUAGUAGACAAAAUACCUUGUACAUCAAAUACUUAGAUGAAUUUGCCUAUUUGGUGUGUUUGUUCAUUGGAUACAUUUAGUGGUUUGGAUGCAUUUGAUAAAUUGAAUACAGUUUGUCUAUUGGGUACAUUUUGCAUAUUGGAUGCAUUUUGUCUGCUGUGUUACUCAGCAGGGACCUUCAGCAGGUUUGGCAUUUUCUACUGAUUUAUGAGAAUCAGUAAUAUAAACUCAGUUUCUUACAUAGAAGCUAUGCCCACACUUUUUCUGUAGUAAGCCAUGUUACUUCUAGUUGGCACUCAUAUGUAAUUCUGAAACAGGCAAUAGAUUAAAUCUUGAUCACCCAAAUUAUAUUAAUUUGGUAUAUAAGUACAUAUAUUGAAAUAUGGCAGAUCCCAUUCACAUGUAGGCAUUAAGGGAAAUGAUGAUGGUAAAUCAACUAGAGUUGCAAUUCAUAUAACCACAUCAGAUAUAUAAAUUCCUGUCAGUGACUCGAUACUAUCUCUAUAACCCAUUAUCUUGGUGCAAAUGAUGAACUGUGUUGGAUUGGCCUGUGUGGAAAGAAGGUGAGUAAGGCUCCUGGUACUUUGAUAUGGUCACAUAACCAUCAUAGCAGGUGAUUGUUUAAAGCCUCAAAAAACCAUCAUUAAUUGAUGGCAAACUUCAUGGAAUAAUGAAUCUGUAACAAGAAGUCAAGCAAAUCAAAUUCAUUUGGAUUAUGGUAUUUUUUGAAUCAGAAUGAAUGCCACUUUGAAAUAAUUUCAUCCAGUUUUUAAAUUGGUUUCUCAUGUGAUUCAUACUCAUAAUGAACAGCCUGCAAGACCCAUUCCUUGUAAGCACAGAAUGCAGGCUAGCCUAAUGGUUAUAAAUAUGUAAUUGUGAAGUUUUAGAAAAAAAGUCAGUUAAUAAAAAUUUUUCAUAAUAUUCAUAAUAUGUAGUUUAUCUAGUAAGCAAAUUUUUAAAGAGCCAUCAGUUACUGGGAACAAUUUUAACUUUAUUAUUAAAUACCAAACUUCUUGACCAUCCCUGUUAUGAUCAGGUAUUCCACUGUAACUCAGUGAUGAGGUUAAACUACUUUACGAUGAUGAUACUUGAUGUUUUGAUAUUAAACUAAACUCCACACAGGCCUUUGGGCAAUACAUUUAUGUGAAGUGAAUGUUUAAAAGUCUUAGAAAUGAACAUAGUAUUCCAUAUUCCCCUCCUGAUCGCAUUCUCUAAGCGGUGCACAUUAAAACUCGUUGUAUGUUUGUCUCUUAUUUUGUUUGUAAUUCAUCACUAGUUUGACAAACUAGCAUAAGCCAUUUUUUUCUCAUUCUGAGAAAAUAGGCUUCAAAGAAUUUUAUACUAGUAUUCAAAGCUUAUAAUUAGCUCAUCUUUUGUGAAAAUUAUUUUGGAAAAUCUGACAAUCCAGACAGCUGAAAUUUUGUUAUGCUACAGAAUAUCAGAAUUAUAGACACUGACUGGAAAACUCAAAAACUUAAAAAAAAAAAAAAAAUGGGAUAUGCCAGUUUGUCAAAACAGGGAUGAAUUAACCCUACCUAGGAACCUUGAGAUCAUAGUCAAACUUUUUUUGUAACUAAUGGGUCAGCAAUUGUGGAGUGACAUAGAUUUAGUUGGUGUCAUAAUUAUAGUAUUUGUCAGGAUAUGGUGUGAUAUCAUAUAGCAUGUGAUCUUUAGUAAAAGUAAUAAAUAAAGUGGACAGUUUGUAAGGGGAUGGCAUUACAAGUGGAAAUCCUUUCUCUCUUUUGGUAUGUGAGUGUUAAUAGUAUUAAGCAUUUUAUGACUAGUCACAAAAAUAUCUAGUACACAUAGUACAACACUGUAAACCUACAUCUCGCUGUUAUAUUUCACAACUUUUUAUAAAGGGCUGAUGAACAUUUCCAGAGAUUCUCACCAUCUUUUUGUUUAUUGUGUAAAAAACUAAAACUAUGCUUGAUGUAGUAGGAGGGAGUUCUCGUCAGUCUAUGCAUAUAGUACAUGUAGUAAGAUAUAAUCUUCAGUCACAUCCUGCUUGUUUAAGUGGUUACAAAGUGGAAUGAGAAGAGAAAUAGGUUUGCCUGUGAUUUGUUCACCUUAAAUGUGUGGCUAUUACUAGCAAAUACAUAUCCUGCAGUAAGUUUUUACUUUUACUGUAUCAUUACAAUUACGCUUACAUUAUAUGCAUGUUGAUAUAAAAUAAAUGAAAUGGAAUGUUUAGUGAAAGUUGCCAUCAUCUCUCCCCUUUUCAUUAUCAUCACCAUAAUGAUCUUUUUGCUAUUGACAAUUUUUACAUCAUAGUAGUGUUAUGUUCUAUUUGCACAUUGCUGUAGUAGUCUUGAAAUAGUGUUUCUUCCACUCUAGAGAAUGCUCUGCAAAGCACAUUUUAUAUGCAGUAAGAAUUUGUGGCUGAUGAAAAUGAGGAUGAACAGCUCACCAGUUGCCUUAUUAUAGUUGUCAACUAUGUAUUAGUCAUAUCCAUACUGUGUUUACAUGGAAUAGUAGAGAUCAAACUCAUAUUCUUUGUAUAUGAUUCUCAAAUGGUUGUAGUUCCAGCUUGCACAGUUAAUCCCCAAACUGCUGCUGUUGUAAAAAUUGAUGCCGCUAAAAGGUGAAUAUUGUUGUUAUGGUGAUGGUUGAAUUUUACAGCCAAUGGGUAAAUCCUAUCAUCCCCAUGAGGUUGGGAUUGUAUGUUGUAACAGUCAAGAUAAGGUAAUCAGGUUGUAGAUAAGAGAGCCAGUUUAUAUUUAUUCUUAUGGUAUUGUUUGGCCACCAGUAAUUGCUAAGAUCAUGCACAAAUUUUUAUAAUUUUUUUUUCAUUGACAAAGAUACAAGGUGACUUACCAUAUGUACUCGUGUAUCAUGCAACUUACUGAGAAUUUUUCUGGGUUACAUCAUACUUGAAGUAUAAAAUGUGAUUGUGUGGGCAUGGUCAUGUCUAAAUUGUAACACAAAGCUUGGUUUAUUGUUUAUUAUUCAUCAGUUUGUAAGCCACAAUUCACACAUCUUAGUGAUUGUUAUUAAUUGUUUAUAUAAGCUUUUUGCAUGAAAAUGCUGUGAUAGGCUAUAAUAUAAAUGUACAAUUCUAAAUAAGUUAGAAAAAAAUUUGUUUUAAAAUGAAGAUGAACAAUAAGUAUUGGAGACAUACAUUAUUACUGACUCAUGUAAGUUGCCAACUAAAACUAGUGAGUAUUUGACAACAUAAUUUCUAAUCAUGUAUGUCUACUGUAUUUUUAAUGGUUUCAUUAAAUGUUUUGAAUAAAUUGCU
Long non-coding RNA from Macrobrachium nipponense, 5468 nucleotides. RefSeq lists it as uncharacterized. The transcript is spliced from 2 exons. The record is from RefSeq and is a predicted model, not a curated record. Lineage: Eukaryota; Metazoa; Arthropoda; Malacostraca; Decapoda; Palaemonidae.